RNAcentral lists this ribosomal RNA (491 nucleotides) under uncultured bacterium. RNAcentral's name for it is "bacterial SSU rRNA". It matches the Rfam family "Bacterial small subunit ribosomal RNA", at positions 29 to 524 of the family's 1533-position model. The record is from RNAcentral.
AUGAACGUUGGCGGCGUGGAUUAGGCAUGCAAGUCGUGCGAGAAACCAAUUAGCUUGCUAUGAGGUGGACAGCGGCGAAAGGGAGAGUAACGCGUGGUUACGUGCCCUCGGGACCGGGAUAGUGUCGGGAAACUGGCAGUAAUACCGGAUAACAUCUUUGGAUCAAAUGGUGUGAUUCCGCCCGAGGAUCGGACCGCGUACUAUUAGCUUGUUGGCGGGGUAACGGCCCACCAAGGCUGCGAUGGUUACCGGGUGUGAGAGCAUGGCCCGGCUCACUGGGACUGAGACACUGCCCAGACAUCUACGGAUGGCUGCAGUCGAGAAUCUUCGGCAAUGGACGAAAGUCUGACCGAGCGACGCCGCGUGCGGGAUGAAGGCCCUCGGGUUGUAAACCGCUGUCAGUUAGGAGGAAAUCCAUGAGGGUUCUCUCUCAUGGUUGACCGAUUUUCAGAGGAAGGACGGGCUAAGUUCGUGCCAGCAGCCGCGGUAAU